AACUAGCCAGUUUGUGUUUCUCUCUCUCUGUGUGUGUGUGCGUGUGUGUGUGAUUUCAGAGAAACUACAACACCGCUGAUGAAUGAAACGUGACGGCUCCAUCCACAGACGCCUAAAUGAGAACGCCAUCUGCCUCUGAGCCCGUUACCCGCCGCCAUGUGCCAAUCUGGUCCUGAAAACACAAUCACAGUGGGGAACAACAGCCGCUGCUGAAAUCUCUCGCUCUGCAGAUGUUGGUUGUGCGAGGUUUCAAAGACUAAUCUGUGUUGACUUCAUCUCUCACACACUCUGUACAUCUGUAAUCUGGCCAGAUACAGUUAAGCCCGUUAUUAUUCAUACUGCUGGCAGGCCUAGAUGUAAAUUAGAUUUAUGUAACCUAGAAGUAUUCACUGCUGGAAGCCAUGUCACUGUUUACUGCAGAGCACCUAUAAAAACUUAAGAUUACGUCGUCGUCGUCAUGCGAUUGUCCCUUUGAUUCUGUUCUCUUCCUGUCGGAUUAUUUUGUUUGUUUUCUGUUCUUACUGUACAUUUUUCUAUGUAACAGCCGUAGUGUAAAAAAAAAAAAGAACAAAACUUGUAUU
Long non-coding RNA from Poeciliopsis prolifica (blackstripe livebearer), 581 nucleotides. RefSeq lists it as uncharacterized. Lineage: Eukaryota; Metazoa; Chordata; Actinopteri; Cyprinodontiformes; Poeciliidae. The transcript is spliced from 3 exons. The record is from RefSeq and is a predicted model, not a curated record.